Small nuclear RNA from Phyllostomus discolor (pale spear-nosed bat), 142 nucleotides. RefSeq annotates it as U4 spliceosomal RNA. NCBI's taxonomy places the organism in Eukaryota, Metazoa, Chordata, Mammalia, Chiroptera, Phyllostomidae. The transcript has a single exon. The record is from RefSeq and is a predicted model, not a curated record.
AGCUUUGCGCAGUGGCAGUAUCAUAGCCAAUGAGGUUUAUCCGAGGCUCGAUUAUUGCUAAUUAAAAAAAGAAUUAUCUCCCUGAAGCUUUCAUUUUAAAAGAUGGCCCAGAUAAGAGUUCCAGAAGACCAGGUAUUCACCU